This 61-nucleotide transfer RNA is filed under the name Ixodes ovatus. RNAcentral describes it as "tRNA-Phe". Lineage: Eukaryota; Metazoa; Arthropoda; Arachnida; Ixodida; Ixodidae. The record is from RNAcentral.
AUCUUUAUAGUUUAUUAUAAAAUAUUACACUGAAAAUGUAAAGAAAUUUUUUUUGAAGAUA